UGCUGGAGGUAUCAGAAGUGCGAAUGCUGACAUAAGUAACGAUAAAGCGGGUGAAAAGCCCGCUCGCCGGAAGACCAAGGGUUCCUGUCCAACGUUAAUCGGGGCAGGGUGAGUCGACUCCUAAGGCGAGGCCGAAAGGCGUAGUCGAUGGGAAACAGGUUAAUAUUCCUGUACUUGGUGUUACUGCGAAGGGGGGACGGAGAAGGCUAUGUUGGCCGGGCGACGGUUGUCCCGGUUUAAGCGUGUAGGCUGGUUUUCCAGGCAAAUCCGGAAAACCAAGGCUGAGGCGUGAUGACGAGGCACUACGGUGCUGAAGUGACAAAUGCCCUGCUUCCAGGAAAAGCCUCUAAGCAUCAGGUAACAUCAAAUCGUACCCCAAACCGACACAGGUGGUCAGGUAGAGAAUACCAAGGCGCUUGAGAGAACUCGGGUGAAGGAACUAGGCAAAAUGGUGCCGUAACUUCGGGAGAAGGCACGCUGAUAUGUAGGUGAAGCGACUUGCUCGUGGAGCUGAAAUCAGUCGAAGAUACCAGCUGGCUGCAACUGUUUAUUAAAAACACAGCACUGUGCAAACACGAAAGUGGACGUAUACGGUGUGACGCCUGCCCGGUGCCGGAAGGUUAAUUGAUGGGGUUAGCGGUAACGCGAAGCUCUUGAUCGAAGCCCCGGUAAACGGCGGCCGUAACUAUAACGGUCCUAAGGUAGCGAAAUUCCUUGUCGGGUAAGUUCCGACCUGCACGAAUGGCGUAAUGAUGGCCAGGCUGUCUCCACCCGAGACUCAGUGAAAUUGAACUCGCUGUGAAGAUGCAGUGUACCCGCGGCAAGACGGAAAGACCCCGUGAACCUUUACUAUAGCUUGACACUGAACAUUGAGCCUUGAUGUGUAGGAUAGGUGGGAGGCUUUGAAGUGUGGACGCCAGUCUGCAUGGAGCCGACCUUGAAAUACCACCCUUUAAUGUUUGAUGUUCUAACGUUGGCCCGUAAUCCGGGUUGCGGACAGUGUCUGGUGGGUAGUUUGACUGGGGCGGUCUCCUCCUAAAGAGUAACGGAGGAGCACGAAGGUUGGCUAAUCCUGGUCGGACAUCAGGAGGUUAGUGCAAUGGCAUAAGCCAGCUUGACUGCGAGCGUGACGGCGCGAGCAGGUGCGAAAGCAGGUCAUAGUGAUCCGGUGGUUCUGAAUGGAAGGGCCAUCGCUCAACGGAUAAAAGGUACUCCGGGGAUAACAGGCUGAUACCGCCCAAGAGUUCAUAUCGACGGCGGUGUUUGGCACCUCGAUGUCGGCUCAUCACAUCCUGGGGCUGAAGUAGGUCCCAAGGGUAUGGCUGUUCGCCAUUUAAAGUGGUACGCGAGCUGGGUUUAGAACGUCGUGAGACAGUUCGGUCCCUAUCUGCCGUGGGCGCUGGAGAACUGAGGGGGGCUGCUCCUAGUACGAGAGGACCGGAGUGGACGCAUCACUGGUGUUCGGGUUGUCAUGCCAAUGGCACUGCCCGGUAGCUAAAUGCGGAAGAGAUAAGUGCUGAAAGCAUCUAAGCACGAAACUUGCCCCGAGAUGAGUUCUCCCUGAGACUUAGAGUCUCCUGAAGGAACGUUGAAGACGACGACGUUGAUAGGCCGGGUGUGUAAGCGCAGCGAUGCGUUGAGCUAACCGGUACUAAUGAACCGUGAGGCUUAACCUUACAACGCCGAAG
RNAcentral lists this ribosomal RNA (1688 nucleotides) under Escherichia coli. RNAcentral describes it as "partial 23S ribosomal RNA". It matches the Rfam family "Bacterial large subunit ribosomal RNA", at positions 1271 to 2925 of the family's 2925-position model. Lineage: Bacteria; Pseudomonadati; Pseudomonadota; Gammaproteobacteria; Enterobacterales; Enterobacteriaceae. The record is from RNAcentral.